UACAGGUUAGUGUUAUCUAGCACAUAGAUCUUUGACCUCUAAAGACGGAGCUAAUUACUCCGACCUGUAA
This 70-nucleotide transfer RNA is filed under the name Paralvinella hessleri. RNAcentral describes it as "tRNA-Gln". The record is from RNAcentral. Lineage: Eukaryota; Metazoa; Annelida; Polychaeta; Terebellida; Alvinellidae.